UUCUGGUUGAUCCCGCCGGACCUGACUGCUAUCGGAUUGAUACUAAGCCAUGCGAGUCAUUGUAGCAAUACAAGGCAUACGGCUCAGUAACGCGUAGUCAACCUAACCUAUGGACGGGAAUAACCUCGGGAAACUGAGAAUAAUGCCCGAUAGAACAUUAUACCUGGAAUGGUUUAUGUUCCAAAUGAUUUAUCGCCGUAGGAUGGGACUGCGGCCUAUCAGUUUGUUGGUGAGGUAAUGGCCCACCAAGACUAUUACAGGUACGGGCUCUGAGAGGAGUAGCCCGGAGAUGGGUACUGAGACACGGACCCAGGCCCUAUGGGGCGCAGCAGGCGAGAAAACUUUGCAAUGUGCGAAAGCACGACAAGGUUAAUCCGAGUGAUUUCUGCUAAAGAAAUCUUUUGUUAGUCCUAGAAACACUAACGAAUAAGGGGUGGGCAAGUUCUGGUGUCAGCCGCCGCGGUAAAACCAGCACCUCAAGUGGUCAGGAUGAUUAUUGGGCCUAAAGCAUCCGUAGCCGGCUCUGUAAGUUUUCGGUUAAAUCUGUACGCUUAACGUACAGGCCGCCGGGAAUACUGCAAAGCUAGGGAGUGGGAGAAGUCGACGGUACUCGGUAGGAAGUGGUAAAAUGCUUUGAUCUAUCGAUGACCACCUGUGGCGAAGGCGGUCUACUAGAACACGUCCGACGGUGAAGGAUGAAAGCUGGGGGAGCAAACCGGAUUAGAUACCCGGGUAGUCCCAGCUGUAAACUAUGCAAACUCAGUGAUGCAUUGGCUUGUGGCCAAUGCAGUGCUGCAGGGAAGCCGUUAAGUUUGCCGCCUGGGAAGUACGUACGCAAGUAUGAAACUUAAAGGAAUUGGCGGGGGAGCACCACAAGGGGUGAAGCCUGCGGUUCAAUUGGAGUCAACGCCGGA
RNAcentral lists this ribosomal RNA (914 nucleotides) under uncultured archaeon. RNAcentral describes it as "bacterial SSU rRNA". It matches the Rfam family "Archaeal small subunit ribosomal RNA", at positions 1 to 922 of the family's 1478-position model. The record is from RNAcentral.